GAUGAAGAACGCAGCGAAAUGCGAUAAGUAAUGUGAAUUGCAGAAUUCCGUGAAUCAUCGAAUCUUUGAACGCACAUUGCGCCCCCUGGUACUCCGGGGGGCAUGUCUGUCCGAGCGUCAUUGCAACCCUCAAGCACGGCUUGUGUGUUGGGCCCGCGUCCCCCGUGGACGGGCCUGAAAGGCAGUGGCGGCGUCGGGUUCCGGUGCCUAAGCGUAUGGGGCUCUGUCUCCCGCUUGGAGGCCCGGCCGGCGCCCGCCGUUCACACCUCAACCACUUCUUCCAGGUUGACCUCGGAUCAGAUAGGGAUACCCGCUGAACUUAAGCAUAUCAAUAAGCGGAGGA
This 343-nucleotide unclassified non-coding RNA is filed under the name soil metagenome. RNAcentral describes it as "partial contains 5.8S ribosomal RNA, internal transcribed spacer 2, and large subunit ribosomal RNA". The stretch from base 1 to 120 matches the Rfam family "5.8S ribosomal RNA", at positions 35 to 154 of the family's 154-position model. The record is from RNAcentral.